UACGAAGGGGGCUAGCGUUGUUCGGAAUUACUGGGCGUAAAGCGUAUGCAGGCGGAUCUCUAAGUCGGGGGUGAAAUCCUGAGGCUCAACCUCAGAACUGCCUUCGAUACUGGAGAUCUUGAGUCCGGGAGAGGUGAGUGGAACUGCAAGUGUAGAGGUGAAAUUCGUAGAUAUUCGCAAGAACACCAGUGGCGAAGGCGGCUCACUGGCCCGGUACUGACGCUGAGGUGCGAAAGCGUGGGGAGCAAACAGG
This 253-nucleotide ribosomal RNA is filed under the name uncultured bacterium. Its description in RNAcentral is "partial 16S ribosomal RNA". It matches the Rfam family "Bacterial small subunit ribosomal RNA", at positions 524 to 776 of the family's 1533-position model. The record is from RNAcentral.